GCUGGGCAUGGUGGCUCAAGCCUGUAAUCCUAGCACUUUGGGAGGCUGAGGCAGGUGGAUCACUUGAGGUCAAGAGUUCAAGACUGGCCUGGCCAACAUGAUGAAACCCCAUCUCUACUAAAAAUAGCUAAUUAGCUGGGCCUGCUGGCGGGAACCAGUAAUCCCAGUUACUCAGGAGGCUGAGGCAGGAGAAUCGCUUAAACCUGGGAGGUAGAGGGUACUGUGAACCAAGAUCGUGCCACUGCACUCUAGCCUGGGUGACAGAGUAAGACUCUGCCUCA
This is an unclassified non-coding RNA of Homo sapiens (human), 281 nucleotides long. It matches the Rfam family "Metazoan signal recognition particle RNA". From Rfam's summary of the family: The signal recognition particle (SRP) is a universally conserved ribonucleoprotein. The record is from Ensembl. Lineage: Eukaryota; Metazoa; Chordata; Mammalia; Primates; Hominidae.